RNAcentral lists this ribosomal RNA (512 nucleotides) under uncultured bacterium. Its description in RNAcentral is "bacterial SSU rRNA". It matches the Rfam family "Bacterial small subunit ribosomal RNA", at positions 8 to 524 of the family's 1533-position model. The record is from RNAcentral.
AGAGUUUGAUCAUGGCUCAGGACGAACGCUGGCGGCGUGCCUCAAACAUGCAAGUCGAGCGGGGAACUUUUAAAAGCGCAAGCUUUUAUAAGUUCCUAGCGGCGAACGGGUGAGUAACACGUGGGCAACCUACCCAGAAGACCGGGACAACACUUCGAAAGGGGUGCUAAUACCGGAUACGCUCGCUGAGUCGCAUGAUUUGGCGGGGAAAGAAUUUUCGCUUUUGGAUGGGCCCGCGUCCCAUUAGCUAGUUGGUGAGGUAAUGGCUCACCAAGGCAACGAUGGGUAGCUGGUCUGAGAGGACGAUCAGCCACACUGGAACUGAGACACGGUCCAGACUCCUACGGGAGGCAGCAGUGGGGAAUCUUCCGCAAUGGGCGAAAGCCUGACGGAGCAACGCCGCGUGAGUGAAGAAGGCCUUCGGGUUGUAAAACUCUGUCAUCAGGGAAGAAGAAAGUGACGGUACCUGAGGAGGAAGCCCCGGCUAACUACGUGCCAGCAGCCGCGGUAAU